Long non-coding RNA from Falco peregrinus (peregrine falcon), 1014 nucleotides. RefSeq lists it as uncharacterized. The record is from RefSeq and is a predicted model, not a curated record. The transcript is spliced from 2 exons. Lineage: Eukaryota; Metazoa; Chordata; Aves; Falconiformes; Falconidae.
GGGCAUGGAUUUUCUAUCUUAUUUGCACAACUCCAUAAUAAAAGCUGCUGUGGGGUCACUAGCAUCAAUGGGGAGAUUUCUCUGGCCGCUAUUCAAGAUGGAACAUCCCCGAGGUCUCACCCCUCCGAGCAAUCUUCUGUAGAGUCAUCCAACCCUUUAUGUGGGUGCUCAGAGCUCGACUUGCAGAGCCUGUCCAUGAUCCCCUGCAGCAUCGGUUGAACAAUCCCCAAGAGAGGGCGCUGGGAGGAGUCUCCAUCCCAGCAGGCUUCCAUCAGCUGCCAGCACUCCUCAUCGAACACUGGAAGUCGCUCCGGGCGAACUCCUGGAAAAUGGAGAGGGACCUGCUUACCACCAGUACACCGCAGAUCUCAGAGAAGCUUUUUCUGAUGCUUAUGGCUUUGGUGCAGGCUGAAGUGACCGAAGGGGACCAUCUGGAGUCUACUGCUCUCGAUAAAGGCUUACGUUUCAGCAGUGCUUCCGAGACAUCUUUGGGAGCACUGCUGAAGUCACUCAGGAGAUCAUGCACACUUCCAGAGGACGGCCAACACAUUUCGUUUCACCAGAGCCUCCUCUUUGCAACUAUUUGGGAGCAGAAUGAACACCCUCCCCUGUAAGGAGACCUCCCAUUCCACCCGCACAUAACAGUGCCUUUGGGAGCAAGUUCAACAUCAGAACAAGCAGCAAGUCCAGCCUUCUGACCAAAUACAGGACUCACUUAUCUAAGUUAAUCUUUUUCACAUGAGAAGGGGAAAGUUUAUAUGGACAGGAGCUAAGAACACAAAGGAGCAGAGCAUUCUGAUACCAUGACACAGCACGAAGGAUUAAGCUACCCCAAAACACAGUUCUACGCUAAACCUAAUGCAGGCAUAGCAGUAAGUUUGUAUUUUGGGGAACAACUAUCAACAGUGUUUUACUCAGCAUCCAGCUUCCUCAGCGUGCUGUGUAUUUAGCAUCUGAAUGUACAGAUCACCACGGCUUCCAGAAAUUGCAAAGGAUUAAACAUUCUUUAGGGGA